UUUCCGUAGGUGAACCUGCGGAAGGAUCAUUCAUAAUAAGUGUUUUACUGCACUUUUUAAAAAUAGUACUCACCUUGUAUGAAAUAUUGUGUUUCUUUUCGGAGAAACACCUACACCAACCUAUAACCUUAAACAACUUUGUCUGAAAAACUAUUAUGAAUACUUAAUUCAAAAUACAGCUUUCAACAACGGAUCUCUUGGCUCUC
RNAcentral lists this unclassified non-coding RNA (206 nucleotides) under plant metagenome. RNAcentral describes it as "partial contains small subunit ribosomal RNA, internal transcribed spacer 1, and 5.8S ribosomal RNA". The record is from RNAcentral.